Molecule: ribosomal RNA, 407 nt
Filed under: Verrucomicrobiota bacterium
Lineage: Bacteria; Pseudomonadati; Verrucomicrobiota
Description: Verrucomicrobia bacterium partial 16S ribosomal RNA
Rfam family: Bacterial small subunit ribosomal RNA
Source: RNAcentral
UGGGGAAUAUUGGACAAUGGAGGCAACUCUGAUCCAGCAAUUCUGUGUGUGUGAAGAAGGUUUUAGGACUGUAAAACACUUUUAGUAGGGAAGAAAGAAAUGACGGUACCUACAGAAGAAGCGACGGCUAAAUACGUGCCAGCAGCCGCGGUAAUACGUAUGUCGCGAGCGUUAUCCGGAAUUAUUGGGCUUAAAGGGCAUCUAGGCGGUAAGACAAGUUGAAGGUGAAAACCUGUGGCUCAACCAUAGGCUUGCCUACAAAACUGUUGAACUAGAGUACUGGAAAGGUGGGUGGAACUACACGAGUAGAGGUGAAAUUCGUAGAUAUGUGUAGGAAUGCCGAUGAUGAAGAUAACUCACUGGACAGAAACUGACGCUGAAGUGCGAAAGCUAGGGGAGCAAACAGG